This 216-nucleotide unclassified non-coding RNA is filed under the name plant metagenome. Its description in RNAcentral is "partial contains small subunit ribosomal RNA, internal transcribed spacer 1, and 5.8S ribosomal RNA". The record is from RNAcentral.
UCUCCGUAGGUGAACCUGCGGAGGGAUCAUUACAAGUGACCCCGGUCUAACCACCGGGAUGUUCAUAACCCUUUGUUGUCCGACUCUGUUGCCUCCGGGGCGACCCUGCCUUCGGGCGGGGCUCCGGGUGGACACUUCAAACUCUUGCGUAACUUUGCAGUCUGAGUAAACUUAAUUAAUAAAUUAAAACUUUUAACAACGGAUCUCUUGGUUCUG